RNAcentral lists this ribosomal RNA (988 nucleotides) under Escherichia coli. Its description in RNAcentral is "partial 23S ribosomal RNA". It matches the Rfam family "Bacterial large subunit ribosomal RNA", at positions 1934 to 2916 of the family's 2925-position model. The record is from RNAcentral. Lineage: Bacteria; Pseudomonadati; Pseudomonadota; Gammaproteobacteria; Enterobacterales; Enterobacteriaceae.
CCGUAACUAUAACGGUCCUAAGGUAGCGAAAUUCCUUGUCGGGUAAGUUCCGACCUGCACGAAUGGCGUAAUGAUGGCCAGGCUGUCUCCACCCGAGACUCAGUGAAAUUGAACUCGCUGUGAAGAUGCAGUGUACCCGCGGCAAGACGGAAAGACCCCGUGAACCUUUACUAUAGCUUGACACUGAACAUUGAGCCUUGAUGUGUAGGAUAGGUGGGAGGCUUUGAAGUGUGGACGCCAGUCUGCAUGGAGCCGACCUUGAAAUACCACCCUUUAAUGUUUGAUGUUCUAACGUUGGCCCCUUAUCGGGGUUGCGGACAGUGUCUGGUGGGUAGUUUGACUGGGGCGGUCUCCUCCUAAAGAGUAACGGAGGAGCACGAAGGUUGGCUAAUCCUGGUCGGACAUCAGGAGGUUAGUGCAAUGGCAUAAGCCAGCUUGACUGCGAGCGUGACGGCGCGAGCAGGUGCGAAAGCAGGUCAUAGUGAUCCGGUGGUUCUGAAUGGAAGGGCCAUCGCUCAACGGAUAAAAGGUACUCCGGGGAUAACAGGCUGAUACCGCCCAAGAGUUCAUAUCGACGGCGGUGUUUGGCACCUCGAUGUCGGCUCAUCACAUCCUGGGGCUGAAGUAGGUCCCAAGGGUAUGGCUGUUCGCCAUUUAAAGUGGUACGCGAGCUGGGUUUAGAACGUCGUGAGACAGUUCGGUCCCUAUCUGCCGUGGGCGCUGGAGAACUGAGGGGGGCUGCUCCUAGUACGAGAGGACCGGAGUGGACGCAUCACUGGUGUUCGGGUUGUCAUGCCAAUGGCACUGCCCGGUAGCUAAAUGCGGAAGAGAUAAGUGCUGAAAGCAUCUAAGCACGAAACUUGCCCCGAGAUGAGUUCUCCCUGACCCUUUAAGGGUCCUGAAGGAACGUUGAAGACGACGACGUUGAUAGGCCGGGUGUGUAAGCGCAGCGAUGCGUUGAGCUAACCGGUACUAAUGAACCGUGAGG